This 467-nucleotide ribosomal RNA is filed under the name uncultured bacterium. RNAcentral's name for it is "partial 16S ribosomal RNA". It matches the Rfam family "Bacterial small subunit ribosomal RNA", at positions 28 to 506 of the family's 1533-position model. The record is from RNAcentral.
GACGAACGCUGGCGGCGUGCUUAACACAUGCAAGUCGAACGGAAAGGCCCUGCUUUUGUGGGGUGCUCGAGUGGCGAACGGGUGAGUAACACGUGAGUAACCUGCCCUUGACUUUGGGAUAACUUCAGGAAACUGGGGCUAAUACCGGAUAGGAGCUCCUGCUGCAUGGUGGGGGUUGGAAAGUUUCGGCGGUUGGGGAUGGACUCGCGGCUUAUCAGCUUGUUGGUGGGGUAGUGGCUUACCAAGGCUUUGACGGGUAGCCGGCCUGAGAGGGUGACCGGCCAGAUUGGGACUGAGUUACGGCCCAGACUCCUCCGAGAGGCAGCAGUGGGGAAUAUUGCACAAGGGGCGGCAGCCUGAUGCAGCAACGCCGCGUGCGGGAGGACGGCCUUCGGGUUGUAAACCGCUUUCGCCUGUGACGAAGCGUGAGUGACGGUACUGGGUAAAGAAGCACCGGCUAACUACGU